This 743-nucleotide long non-coding RNA is filed under the name Numida meleagris (helmeted guineafowl). RNAcentral describes it as "lncRNA (ENSNMEG00000021569.1)". The record is from RNAcentral. Lineage: Eukaryota; Metazoa; Chordata; Aves; Galliformes; Numididae.
GCCCAGGCUCCCUAGGUGUACCUUUGUGCCCUGCCUUUACCAAGCAUUUGGAUGAUCAGGAUUGCAAGUAUGAGGGUCCAGGGCACUGUCGGCCUUGCCUUUCCCUGCCCAUACGCUAGGCUCAGAUUCCAAGAUCAGUCCAGGACCAUCAUCCCCAGAUCCAAGUCAAGAGUCACAGAAAAAGCAACAACAACAACAAACCACCAAAUCCAGGGUCUGAUAAAUCGCAGAAGAAUCAGGAGCCAAGAGAAGAGAAAGAACCAUGUUCAAGGAAAACAAGAUUAAAGUAGAGCUCAUCCUGGCAAAUAAGUCAUUUUGGCGUGAAUACCAAGUGUUACGGUUCUGAGAUUAUCGUAAGAGCAGAUAAUGCCAAAAGAAAGGUUAAAAGGAGAAAGAGACAUCUGUUAAAGCCAGUAAAGGAAAAAUCUGGGGAUUAGAAUACAGAAAACGCUAUUUAAUGGCUCAGGGAUUCACUGAGAGCAUUUACCUCUUCGCUUCAUAAAACAGCCCAAUGACAAAUUUGUUCCAGUCAUCAGUGUGGUCAGCUAGGCUGCUACGCAACUAUUGCCUUGUAUGGCCUGGCUGGUUGUUAUUAUGGGAUGUUCUGAUUGCACUCUCCUUGCAACUGUUACACUUUAUUUUCAGCCACCAGGGCCCUUUCCCUGGUCUGCCUUGUGCCUACCUAAUCUUAUUAAACACAGUAAGACCCAUGUAAUGGAGCAGAAGGUAAGAAGGUACGGAAG